ACGGGUGAGUAACACGUAAGUAAUCUGCCUUUAAGACUGGGAUAACCUUGCCAACGCGGGGCUAAUACCGGAUGUGGUCAGUCGGACGCAUGUCUGAUUGAUUAAAGGAGUGAUCCGCUUAAAGAUGAACUUGCGGCCCAUUAGCUUGUUGGCGGGGUAACGGCCCACCAAGGCUGCGAUGGGUAGCCGGCCUGAGAGGGUGUACGGCCACAUUGGGACUGAGAUACGGCCCAGACUCCUACGGGAGGCAGCAGUAGGGAAUUUUGCGCAAUGGACGAAAGUCUGACGCAGCAACGCCGCGUGAGGGAUGAAGGCCUUCGGGUUGUAAACCUCUGUUGGGUAGGAAAAAAAGGUAGCAAUACUUUGAUGGUACUACCUGAGGAAGCACCGGCUAACUACGUGCCAGCAGCCGCGGUAAUACGUAGGGUGCAAGCGUUGUUCGGAAUCACUGGGCGUAAAGAGAGCGUAGGCGGGAUUGUAAGUUAGAAGUUUAAUACAUGGGCUUAACCCGUGGCUGGCUUUUAAUACUGCAGUUCUUGAGUAUGGGAGAGGGCGAUGGAAUUCCAGGU
This 569-nucleotide ribosomal RNA is filed under the name uncultured bacterium. RNAcentral's name for it is "bacterial SSU rRNA". It matches the Rfam family "Bacterial small subunit ribosomal RNA", at positions 102 to 674 of the family's 1533-position model. The record is from RNAcentral.